RNAcentral lists this ribosomal RNA (256 nucleotides) under uncultured bacterium. RNAcentral describes it as "partial 16S ribosomal RNA". It matches the Rfam family "Bacterial small subunit ribosomal RNA", at positions 521 to 776 of the family's 1533-position model. The record is from RNAcentral.
UAACAGAGGGGGGCAAGCGUUGUUCGGAAUUACUGGGCGUAAAGGGCGCGUAGGCGGCCCGCUAAGUCGAACGUGAACUCCCCGAGCUCAACUCGGGAACUGCGUCCGAAUACUGGCGGGCUUGAAUCCGGGAGAGGGAUGCGGAAUUCCAGGUGUAGCGGUGAAAUGCGCAGAUAUCAGGAGGAACACCGGUGGCGAAGGCGGUUCUCUGGGCAUUACCUGACGCUGAGGAGCGAAAGUGUGGGGAGCGAACAGG